Molecule: ribosomal RNA, 359 nt
Filed under: uncultured bacterium
Lineage: Bacteria
Description: bacterial SSU rRNA
Rfam family: Bacterial small subunit ribosomal RNA
Source: RNAcentral
AUUGAACGCUGGCGGCGUGCUUAACACAUGCAAGUCGAGCGGUAACAGGCGUAGCAAUACGUGCUGACGAGCGGCGAACGGGUGCGUAAUACAUCGGAAUCUGCCUAGUAGUGGGGAAUAACCCGGCGAAAGCCGGGCUAAUGCCGCAUACGAUCCACGGAUGAAAGCGGGGGGACUUUCGGGCCGUCGCGCUAUUAGAUGAGCCGAUGCCGGAUUAGCUAGUGGUGGAGGUAACGGCUCACCAAGGCGACGAUCCGUAGCUGGUCUGAGAGGACGGCCAGCCACACUGGGGACUGAGACACGGGCCCAGACUCCUACGGGAGGCAGCAGUGGGGAAUAUUGGACAAUGGGGGAAACCC